RNAcentral lists this long non-coding RNA (496 nucleotides) under Malus domestica (apple). Its description in RNAcentral is "long non-coding RNA (MDOM_LNC002763)". The record is from RNAcentral. Lineage: Eukaryota; Viridiplantae; Streptophyta; Magnoliopsida; Rosales; Rosaceae.
CCACAAAACCUCAUCAGGGACUCAAGAAUGGUUGAUUUCCCCAUCCUCGUUAUCUCAUCCACUUGGUCUGCAUAUGCUCCAUAUGCAAGUAUCCGCAAGGCAGCAGUAAUUUUUUAAUGAGGAAUGAGACCCAUAGCACCAAAAGCAUCAUUCUUUUGCACAAAGUAAGAAUCAUGGUUGCAAACAGCAAUCAUGAUUUUGUUGAACAAAUGUCAUUCCAUUCUAAAACGACGUCUAAAGUACGUAUUAGGGAAUGCACUAUUACAGACAAAAUAAUCGUCCAAGAGUUCCGUACCUAGUCGUUGUCUGCUUCUAUAAAGGUUUCCGGAACGGCUGGGCCUGCAGAUCUGACCCACAGCUUAGAUGACUCGACGGGAAUGUGAGGCUCUACCCAUUCUUGCUUCGUCAUCUCUCCUUCUACGCUAUUCAUCCUCUUUCCUCUCAGUUUGGGCCACAUGGAGUUUGAACAUUCUUUCUGAUUGGUUAAACAAUUCUU